GACGUACGCUGGCGGCGUGCUUAACACAUGCAAGUCGAACGGAAAGGCCCUGCUUUUGUGGGGUGCUCGAGUGGCGAACGGGUGAGUAACACGUGAGUAACCUGCCCUUGACUUUGGGAUAACUUCAGGAAACUGGGGCUAAUACCGGAUAGGAGCUCCUGCUGCAUGGUGGGGGUUGGAAAGUUUCGGCGGUUGGGGAUGGACUCGCGGCUUAUCAGCUUGUUGGUGGGGUAGUGGCUUACCAAGGCUUUGACGGGUAGCCGGCCUGAGAGGGUGACCGGCCACAUUGGGACUGAGAUACGGCCCAGAUUCCUACGGGAGGCAGCAGUGGGGAAUAUUGCACAAUGGGCGGAAGCCUGAUGCAGCAACGCCGCGUGCGGGAUGACGGCCUUCGGGUUGUAAACCGCUUUCGCCUGUGACGAAGCGUGAGUGACGGUAAUGGGUAAAGAAGCACCGGCUAACUACGUG
This 468-nucleotide ribosomal RNA is filed under the name uncultured bacterium. RNAcentral's name for it is "partial 16S ribosomal RNA". It matches the Rfam family "Bacterial small subunit ribosomal RNA", at positions 28 to 507 of the family's 1533-position model. The record is from RNAcentral.